RNAcentral lists this unclassified non-coding RNA (558 nucleotides) under Hevea brasiliensis (rubber tree). Lineage: Eukaryota; Viridiplantae; Streptophyta; Magnoliopsida; Malpighiales; Euphorbiaceae. The record is from RNAcentral.
AGAAAAUCCCGCCCCAAUUCCCUAUUUCCGAACAUGUUUAUGGGAACGGUAGAACCUUAUCCCGACCCGCCUGUUUCCAUUCGCUUCCGGAGCGUUGCUCCUCCAACCUUCAAAAACCCGAUUUUCCUUAAAACCACCAAAACUUUGAGCCAAAUCUAACGCUCCAUAUGCUAUACACGUCAUAUGCUACAACCAGCACAUCGCCCCAUCCCAGGAGACCUUAUCCUGCGCACGCUCAUUAUUGACACUCACACACACUUCUCUUUCAUCUGUCUCCGUUAUGGCCGCCGAGUUGCAUCCGCCGGAAGGUCCCAUCACCACUAUCUCCACCAAUGUUGUCACAGCAACUACAGCGGUUAUAGCACCUGCGGAACCCGAGAACGCCAGCCCACCACCGCAGGUCCCGAAACGGCAACGCCGACCCAGCGUACGUCUUGGUGAGAUCGGAGACCAAUCGACUGCUUUCUCCUAUGACUUGCACGUUCGCCGCCCCAAGCACCCCUGGCGUCUCCCUAAAGACUCAUCUAAAUCCGUCAAGGCCCGGUCUUUAACCAACCU